This 151-nucleotide ribosomal RNA is filed under the name Glomus sp. (unid). The record is from RNAcentral. Lineage: Eukaryota; Fungi; Glomeromycota; Glomeromycetes; Glomerales; Glomeraceae.
CAGUCGUACCUGCGGAUAAUCAUCCUUUAGAUGCGAUUUUGUGGAGCGUGAAGAGCUAAUCGCCUUCAUGCCUGUAUAUUUGUGUACUUGGGGUGUACUUAUUCGUGUGGUGAGUUAACAUCAAUUUUGGUUGUCAUAAAAUGAUUGGAGG